RNAcentral lists this ribosomal RNA (371 nucleotides) under uncultured bacterium. RNAcentral's name for it is "bacterial SSU rRNA". It matches the Rfam family "Bacterial small subunit ribosomal RNA", at positions 525 to 896 of the family's 1533-position model. The record is from RNAcentral.
ACGUAGGGGGCCAGCGUUGCUCGGAAUAACUGGGCGUAAAGGGUUCGUAGGCGGUGUGGCAAGUCGGGAGUGAAAUCCUGAGGCUUAACUUCAGGACUGCUACCGAAACUGCCAUGCUGGAGUGCGGGAGAGGCGAGUGGAAUUGCAGGUGUAGCGGUGAAAUGCGUAGAUAUCUGCAGGAACACCAGUGGCGAAAGCGGCUCGCUGGACCGCAACUGACGCUGAGGAACGAAAGCUAGGGGAGCAAACAGGAUUAGAUACCCUGGUAGUCCUAGCCCUAAACGAUCAGAACUUGGGGUGGGCCCCUUUCGGGGUUCGUCCCGGAGCUAACGCGUUAAGUUCUGCGCCUGGGGAGUACGGUCGCAAGGCUG